UUAAGCGACUAAGCGUACACGGUGGAUGCCCUGGCAGUCAGAGGCGAUGAAGGACGUGCUAAUCUGCGAUAAGCGUCGGUAAGGUGAUAUGAACCGUUAUAACCGGCGAUUUCCGAAUGGGGAAACCCAGUGUGUUUCGACACACUAUCAUUAACUGAAUCCAUAGGUUAAUGAGGCGAACCGGGGGAACUGAAACAUCUAAGUACCCCGAGGAAAAGAAAUCAACCGAGAUUCCCCCAGUAGCGGCGAGCGAACGGGGAGCAGCCCAGAGCCUGAAUCAGUGUGUGUGUUAGUGGAAGCGUCUGGAAAGGCGCGCGAUACAGGGUGACAGCCCCGUACACAAAAAUGCACAUGCUGUGAGCUCGAUGAGUAGGGCGGGACACGUGGUAUCCUGUCUGAAUAUGGGGGGACCAUCCUCCAAGGCUAAAUACUCCUGACUGACCGAUAGUGAACCAGUACCGUGAGGGAAAGGCGAAAAGAACCCCGGCGAGGGGAGUGAAAAAGAACCUGAAACCGUGUACGUACAAGCAGUGGGAGCACGCUUAGGCGUGUGACUGCGUACCUUUUGUAUAAUGGGUCAGCGACUUAUAUUCUGUAGCAAGGUUAACCGAAUAGGGGAGCCGAAGGGAAACCGAGUCUUAACUAGGGGCGUUAAGUUGCAGGGUAUAGACCCGAAACCCGGUGAUCUAGCCAUGGGCAGGUUGAAGGUUGGGUAACACUAACUGGAGGACCGAACCGACUAAUGUUGAAAAUUAGCGGAUGACUUGUGGCUGGGGGUGAAAGGCCAAUCAAACCGGGAGAUAGCUGGUUCUCCCCGAAAGCUAUUUAGGUAGCGCCUCGUGAAUUCAUCUCCGGGGGUAGAGCACUGUUUCGGCAAGGGGGUCAUCCCGACUUACCAACCCGAUGCAAACUGCGAAUACCGGAGAAUGUUAUCACGGGAGACACACGGCGGGUGCUAACGUCCGUCGUGAAGAGGGAAACAACCCAGACCGCCAGCUAAGGUCCCAAAGUCAUGGUUAAGUGGGAAACGAUGUGGGAAGGCCCAGACAGCCAGGAUGUUGGCUUAGAAGCAGCCAUCAUUUAAAGAAAGCGUAAUAGCUCACUGGUCGAGUCGGCCUGCGCGGAAGAUGUAACGGGGCUAAACCAUGCACCGAAGCUGCGGCAGCGACACUAUGUGUUGUUGGGUAGGGGAGCGUUCUGUAAGCCUGUGAAGGUGUGCUGUGAGGCAUGCUGGAGGUAUCAGAAGUGCGAAUGCUGACAUAAGUAACGAUAAAGCGGGUGAAAAGCCCGCUCGCCGGAAGACCAAGGGUUCCUGUCCAACGUUAAUCGGGGCAGGGUGAGUCGACCCCUAAGGCGAGGCCGAAAGGCGUAGUCGAUGGGAAACAGGUUAAUAUUCCUGUACUUGGUGUUACUGCGAAGGGGGGACGGAGAAGGCUAUGUUGGCCGGGCGACGGUUGUCCCGGUUUAAGCGUGUAGGCUGGUUUUCCAGGCAAAUCCGGAAAAUCAAGGCUGAGGCGUGAUGACGAGGCACUACGGUGCUGAAGCAACAAAUGCCCUGCUUCCAGGAAAAGCCUCUAAGCAUCAGGUAACAUCAAAUCGUACCCCAAACCGACACAGGUGGUCAGGUAGAGAAUACCAAGGCGCUUGAGAGAACUCGGGUGAAGGAACUAGGCAAAAUGGUGCCGUAACUUCGGGAGAAGGCACGCUGAUAUGUAGGUGAGGUCCCUCGCGGAUGGAGCUGAAAUCAGUCGAAGAUACCAGCUGGCUGCAACUGUUUAUUAAAAACACAGCACUGUGCAAACACGAAAGUGGACGUAUACGGUGUGACGCCUGCCCGGUGCCGGAAGGUUAAUUGAUGGGGUUAGCGCAAGCGAAGCUCUUGAUCGAAGCCCCGGUAAACGGCGGCCGUAACUAUAACGGUCCUAAGGUAGCGAAAUUCCUUGUCGGGUAAGUUCCGACCUGCACGAAUGGCGUAAUGAUGGCCAGGCUGUCUCCACCCGAGACUCAGUGAAAUUGAACUCGCUGUGAAGAUGCAGUGUACCCGCGGCAAGACGGAAAGACCCCGUGAACCUUUACUAUAGCUUGACACUGAACAUUGAGCCUUGAUGUGUAGGAUAGGUGGGAGGCUUAGAAGUGUGGACGCCAGUCUGCAUGGAGCCGACCUUGAAAUACCACCCUUUAAUGUUUGAUGUUCUAACGUUGACCCGUAAUCCGGGUUGCGGACAGUGUCUGGUGGGUAGUUUGACUGGGGCGGUCUCCUCCUAAAGAGUAACGGAGGAGCACGAAGGUUGGCUAAUCCUGGUCGGACAUCAGGAGGUUAGUGCAAUGGCAUAAGCCAGCUUGACUGCGAGCGUGACGGCGCGAGCAGGUGCGAAAGCAGGUCAUAGUGAUCCGGUGGUUCUGAAUGGAAGGGCCAUCGCUCAACGGAUAAAAGGUACUCCGGGGAUAACAGGCUGAUACCGCCCAAGAGUUCAUAUCGACGGCGGUGUUUGGCACCUCGAUGUCGGCUCAUCACAUCCUGGGGCUGAAGUAGGUCCCAAGGGUAUGGCUGUUCGCCAUUUAAAGUGGUACGCGAGCUGGGUUUAGAACGUCGUGAGACAGUUCGGUCCCUAUCUGCCGUGGGCGCUGGAGAACUGAGGGGGGCGUGCUCCUACGUACGAGAGGACCGGAGUGGACGCAUCACUGGUGUUCGGGUUGUCAUGCCAAUGGCACUGCCCGGUAGCUAAAUGCGGAAGAGAUAAGUGCUGAAAGCAUCUAAGCACGAAACUUGCCCCGAGAUGAGUUCUCCCUGACUCCUUGAGAGUCCUGAAGGAACGUUGAAGACGACGACGUUGAUAGGCCGGGUGUGUAAGCGCAGCGAUGCGUUGAGCUAACCGGUACUAAUGAACCGUGAGGCUUAACCUU
This 2904-nucleotide ribosomal RNA is filed under the name Escherichia coli DEC6D. Its description in RNAcentral is "bacterial LSU rRNA". It matches the Rfam family "Bacterial large subunit ribosomal RNA". The record is from RNAcentral. Lineage: Bacteria; Pseudomonadati; Pseudomonadota; Gammaproteobacteria; Enterobacterales; Enterobacteriaceae.